CAAGACAGGCUCUGUCUUGUUUUUGUGUUCUCUGUAGUCCUUCGUGUCGUUUGAGGAACGCUGCAAACACACUUAAAGAAACGUGGGUGCACACAAAAGGCUUGCCUGAAGGCCUGCCAGGCUGCAAAACCCAACAAGAAAGUCCUGAAGGCAUCGUGCCCCGAGGCCGACAUGUGCCGCUGCUCGUACGAAGACGACUGCACAGAAGACAUAUGCCGUGAGUACUGUAAAAA
Molecule: long non-coding RNA, 233 nt
Organism: Rhipicephalus microplus (southern cattle tick)
Lineage: Eukaryota; Metazoa; Arthropoda; Arachnida; Ixodida; Ixodidae
Source: RefSeq, a predicted model, not a curated record